This 402-nucleotide long non-coding RNA is filed under the name Brachypodium distachyon (stiff brome). RNAcentral's name for it is "long non-coding RNA (BDIS_LNC004086)". Lineage: Eukaryota; Viridiplantae; Streptophyta; Magnoliopsida; Poales; Poaceae. The record is from RNAcentral.
CCAUGAAGUUUUUAAGCCAGAAUCCAUUCUCCAUAAACAUAACAAGUGGGGCAAACACAAAGGCUAUUCCAACUAAAGAAGCCAGAAGGGUCCGCCAGUCAGUCCCAACUGCCCCCCUGCCACCGGGCUAUAUGCUUCCACGACGGCUCCAACGCAGCCAUGUGCAAUCACAAAGGCUCCUAUGCAAUGUUCUUUGAGACGAUGCCUUUCUCGCAAAAAAAAAAGGUUGAUCCUGCGGUGCUGCCCUCACAAUGACGUCACCUAUACGUACCAUGGCCCAUGGGGCCCACCUGGCACUGAGAUUCCAUGCUGUCGUCGCCAUCCAGGUUGGCAGCAGCCACGGUGACUAGUCCACGGAAAGACGAAAAAAAAAAUCUCCGUAGAAAGUUUCGCAAAGGGCAA